GUCGAGAAUCAUUCGCAAUGGGCGAAAGCCUGACGAUGCGACGCCGUGUGAACGAAGAAGGCCUUCGGGUCGUAAAGUUCUUUCGCUUGGGAGCAAGAGAGGCGAGCUAAUAAUUCGCUAAUUUGAGUGUACCAGGUAAAGAAGCACCGGCUAACUCCGUGCCAGCAGCUGCGGUAAUACGGAGGGUGCAAGCAUUAAUCGGAUUUAUUGGGCGUAAAGGGCGCGUAGGCGGGAAUGUUAGUCAGAUGUGAAAGCCCAGGGCUCAACCCUGGAACAGCAUUUGAAACUACAUUGCUAGAGGAUAGGCGGAGAAAACGGAAUUCCACGUGUAGCGGUGAAAUGCGUAGAUAUGUGGAAGAACACCGGUGGCGAAAGCGGUUUUCUAGCUUAGACCUGACGCUGAGGCGCGAAAGCAAGGGGAGCAAACAGGAUUAGAAACCCGAGUAGUCC
This 450-nucleotide ribosomal RNA is filed under the name uncultured bacterium. Its description in RNAcentral is "partial 16S ribosomal RNA". It matches the Rfam family "Bacterial small subunit ribosomal RNA", at positions 354 to 796 of the family's 1533-position model. The record is from RNAcentral.